CCGACUCGUGUUGCAGGUGCACAUGUGGUCACGCAGGGCACCUUGAGACGUUUACUUCUGGCCGUGAACUCAUGAUGAUGCUGAAGCCCGCGAGGAGACCUGCCUUGUGUGCAACAGCAGAAAAGACAUUAUGAAAAACAUACAGAUUUUAAAAGGACCAGAUGAAAAUUCUAACCACGGAAAGUAAAGACUGACACGUUUUGCAAGGACUCCCCUGGUGAUCUGCAGUGAAGACUCCACACUGCCAACGCAGGGAGUGCACCUGUGUGUAAAACUCAAGCUCUAGACCGCUUCCCCGGUAGUUCAGCUGGUAAAGAAUUCCUGGGUUGGGAAGGUCCCCUGGAGUAGGGAUAGGCUACUCACUCCAGUAUUCUUGGGCUUCCCUUGUGGCUCAGCUGGUAAAGAAUCUGCCUGUAAUGCAGGAGACCUGGGUUUGAACCUGGGCUGGGAAGAUCCCCUGGAGAAGGCAACGACUACCAUUCCAGUAUUCUGGUAUUCUGGCCUGGAGAAUUCCAUGGACUGUAUAGUCCACAGGGUCACAAAGAGUCAGACACGAUUGAGCGGCUUUCACUAAUAAUGCCAGACCACUGAGACCACUAGUCUACUACAGGGCACAGGCAGAACCACCCGCUCCCCUACCCAAAACCCCAGUCCCCUCCUCCAGGGUUUGCCUCCUUUUCCUCGGUCCCAGGGAUCUCUCUUCCCAUCUUGGGAGCUCAGCUAUGAAUUGAAAUUGCUGUCUGGCUUGUGGGUGUAGUCUAUCUAGCAUUUCUGGAUGUUUGGAGUAGACCUGCUUUGAGUUCUCCAAUCUGGCAAGUCUCAGGGAACAGAAGUGUAACACACAUUGUUUUAAACCCCAGGAGAUUUCAUAUGAAAAUCUGCACUGCUGGCUUCCCUUGCUGGGAGACACAGAAGGGGAGACUGGGCGCUCUUCGGAUCCGCAAGGCCCUUGUUGGCCACCAAUGCAUCCAGCUGGGCUCUCUGGCUGGCGGGUCUCCCGCACUCCUUCCCCGCCGCCCCCUCCGCCCCUUCCCAGCUG
This is a long non-coding RNA of Ovis aries (sheep), 1039 nucleotides long. Lineage: Eukaryota; Metazoa; Chordata; Mammalia; Artiodactyla; Bovidae. The record is from Ensembl.